RNAcentral lists this ribosomal RNA (468 nucleotides) under uncultured bacterium. Its description in RNAcentral is "partial 16S ribosomal RNA". It matches the Rfam family "Bacterial small subunit ribosomal RNA", at positions 28 to 507 of the family's 1533-position model. The record is from RNAcentral.
GACGAACGCUGGCGGCGUGCUUAACACAUGCAAGUCGAACGGAAAGGCCCUGCUUUUGUGGGGUGCUCGAGUGGCGAACGGGUGAGUAACACGUGAGUAACCUGCCCUUGACUUUGGGAUAACUUCAGGAAACUGGGGCUAAUACCGGAUAGGAGCUCCUGCUGCAUGGUGGGGGUUGGAAAGUUUCGGCGGUUGGGGAUGGACUCGCGGCUUAUCAGCUUGUUGGUGGGGUAGUGGCUUACCAAGGCUUUGACGGGUAGCCGGCCUGAGAGGGUGACCGGCCACAUUGGGGCUGAGAUACGGCCCAGACUCCUACGGGAGGCAGCAGUGGGGAAUAUUGCACAAUGGGCGGAAGCCUGAUGCAGCAACGCCGCGUGUGGGAUGACGGCCUUCGGGUUGUAAACCGCUUUCGCCUGUGACGAAGCGUGAGUGACGGUAAUGGGUAAAGAAGCACCGGCUAACUACGUG